AGUGAACGCUGGCGGUAGGCCUAACACAUGCAAGUCGAACGGCAGCACAGUAAGAGCUUGCUCUUACGGGUGGCGAGUGGCGGACGGGUGAGGAAUACAUCGGAAUCUACUUUUUCGUGGGGGAUAACGUAGGGAAACUUACGCUAAUACCGCAUACGACCUACGGGUGAAAGCAGGGGAUCUUCGGACCUUGCGCGAUUGAAUGAGCCGAUGUCGGAUUAGCUAGUUGGCGGGGUAAAGGCCCACCAAGGCGACGAUCCGUAGCUGGUCUGAGAGGAUGAUCAGCCACACUGGAACUGAGACACGGUCCAGACUCCUACGGGAGGCAGCAGUGGGGAAUAUUGGACAAUGGGCGCAAGCCUGAUCCAGCCAUACUGCGUGGGUGAAGAAGGCCUUCGGGUUGUAAAGCCCUUUUGUUGGGAAAGAAAAGCAGCAGGUUAAUACCCCGCUGUUCUGACGGUACCCAAAGAAUAAGCACGGGCUAACUUCGUG
RNAcentral lists this ribosomal RNA (492 nucleotides) under uncultured bacterium. Its description in RNAcentral is "partial 16S ribosomal RNA". It matches the Rfam family "Bacterial small subunit ribosomal RNA", at positions 29 to 507 of the family's 1533-position model. The record is from RNAcentral.